This 345-nucleotide unclassified non-coding RNA is filed under the name soil metagenome. RNAcentral describes it as "partial contains 5.8S ribosomal RNA, internal transcribed spacer 2, and large subunit ribosomal RNA". The stretch from base 1 to 119 matches the Rfam family "5.8S ribosomal RNA", at positions 35 to 154 of the family's 154-position model. The record is from RNAcentral.
GAUGAAGAACGCAGCGAAAUGCGAUACGUAAUGUGAAUUGCAAAUUCAGUGAAUCAUCGAGUCUUUGAACGCACAUUGCGCCCCCUGGUAUUCCGGGGGGCAUGCCUGUCCGAGCGUCAUUGCUGCCCUCAAGCACGGCUUGUGUGUUGGGCCCCGUCCUCCGAUUCCGGGGGACGGGCCCGAAAGGCAGCGGCGGCACCGCGUCUGGUCCUCGAGCGUAUGGGGCUUUGUCACCCGCUCUGUAGGCCCGGCCGGCGCUUGCCGAUCAACCCAAAUUUUUAUCCAGGUUGACCUCGGAUCAGGUAGGGAUACCCGCUGAACUUAAGCAUAUCAAUAAGCGGAGGA